AAAAGUUAAAUUCCACCCCAAAAAUGUCAUAUUACAGUAAUUUUUUGUAAAAAUUGCACGGGGCGUCCUAUUUGAUCGUCCACGUUUAACUGAUACUUAUUUUUUAAUUUUUUUUAACUUGUACGUACUUUUUAAAUAACUUUAACUUUCUUUCUUUUCCGCUUCAGUACCUCACCAGAAGAAAGCAGGCGAAUUAGGCAGCUACGUGUAGGAUAGCUAUUUUUUUUUUCCUUAUUUCCAUUUGAGAUUCUUGAAUGGAUGCCCUUAUUCUUGUAUGCUUGUCAUACUACUGCCUUUCGUUUAAGCUUGUAGUUCCAUCUGAAUUAUGCAGGUUCCAG
This 338-nucleotide long non-coding RNA is filed under the name Nicotiana benthamiana. RNAcentral's name for it is "long non-coding RNA (NBEN_LNC037527)". The record is from RNAcentral. Lineage: Eukaryota; Viridiplantae; Streptophyta; Magnoliopsida; Solanales; Solanaceae.